This 145-nucleotide small nucleolar RNA is filed under the name Belgica antarctica. Lineage: Eukaryota; Metazoa; Arthropoda; Insecta; Diptera; Chironomidae. The record is from RNAcentral.
CUCUGGCUUUAUCGAAGCUCGGUCAUCGCUAAAAAUCAAUCAAGAUGAAUCGAGUCAAUAUAGAGCCAACAUUAAAGUUCAUCAAUACGGUCACUGUUUGGUUUCGAUAAUAACUGAUUCAGUAACAUUAUAGAUGAAAAUAUUU